RNAcentral lists this ribosomal RNA (550 nucleotides) under uncultured bacterium. RNAcentral describes it as "bacterial SSU rRNA". It matches the Rfam family "Bacterial small subunit ribosomal RNA", at positions 355 to 896 of the family's 1533-position model. The record is from RNAcentral.
UGGGGAAUCUUCCGCAAUGGGCGAAAGUCUGACGGAGCAACGCCGCGUGAGUGAUGACGGCCUUCGGGUUGUAAAGCUCUGUUAAUCGGGACGAAAGGCCUUCUUGCGAAUAGUGAGAAGGAUUGACGGUACCGGAAUAGAAAGCCACGGCUAACUACGUGCCAGCAGCCGCGGUAAUACGUAGGUGGCAAGCGUUGUCCGGAAUUAUUGGGCGUAAAGCGCGCGCAGGCGGAUAGGUCAGUCUGUCUUAAAAGUUCGGGGCUUAACCCCGUGAUGGGAUGGAAACUGCCAAUCUAGAGUAUCGGAGAGGAAAGUGGAAUUCCUAGUGUAGCGGUGAAAUGCAUAGAUAUUAGGAAGAACACCAGUGGCGAAGGCGACUUUCUGGACGAAAACUGACGCUGAGGCGCGAAAGCCAGGGGAGCGAACGGGAUUAGAUACCCCGGUAGUCCUGGCCGUAAACGAUGGGUACUAGGUGUAGGAGGUAUCGACCCCUUCUGUGCCGGAGUUAACGCAAUAAGUACCCCGCCUGGGGAGUACGACCGCAAGGUUG